CGAACGGGUGAGUAAUGCGUGACCAACCUGCCCCAUGCUCAAGAAUAGCUCUUGGAAACGGGUGGUAAUGCUGGAUGCUCCAACUUGACGCAUGUCUUGUUGGGAAAGUGUUUAGUGGCAUGGGAUGGGGUCGCGUCCUAUCAGCUUGUAGGCGGGGUAAUGGCCCACCUAGGCUUCGACGGGUAGCCGGCCUGAGAGGGCGGACGGCCACAUUGGGACUGAGAUACGGCCCAGACUCCUACGGGAGGCAGCAGGU
RNAcentral lists this ribosomal RNA (256 nucleotides) under uncultured Gardnerella sp. RNAcentral describes it as "partial 16S ribosomal RNA". It matches the Rfam family "Bacterial small subunit ribosomal RNA", at positions 99 to 354 of the family's 1533-position model. Lineage: Bacteria; Bacillati; Actinomycetota; Actinomycetes; Bifidobacteriales; Bifidobacteriaceae. The record is from RNAcentral.